UCCCAAGACAGCCUGAAAGCCACUAUUACCUGGCCCUGUCCUUGCUGAGUCUAACAGAAUCUUAGAAUGUACAGGGUAUUCCUUAGAAUUCAAGGCUCGUCCAUUCCAGCACCCCCAGCACCCAUACCUGGGAGAUGUAGGUGUCCUACCUAGGUUGCCCCACCCUACCCCAAGUACUUGAGACCCAGGGAAAAGCCCCUGGCUCUGGACUCUAAGCAGUGGUUCUCAGGGCUGGAGCUAGACCCAGCGUGGGAUCAGGGUGCAACCUACUGGGCUUAGUCAAAGCCUGUGCCUGCUUCCAGUAUGUAGUGUGCACCACACCAGCGGCGAGGGGCCCCGUCACGUAGAGGGACAUAGCCCCUCAGCUUCGGAAGAGCGGCAGACCCUACCCUAGCCAUCCCCCGAGGGGAGUUGUUCUGGAUGGCGCGGGGGCGGGCGGGCAGGCAGGCUAGCUCUAGUCUAGGAACAUAGGGGCUGAGCUGGUGGGGAAGCCCCGGGUUACGCGACCGACCAGAGCCGCACUCACAAGGGCCCAGGCGGUACAGACCGCAAUGGAGGCACGGCUGCUGCGGGGCUGCGUGGUGGAGGUGAGUGGGGUCGCCGGGAGGCCAGGAAACUGUCCAGAACCUGACCUGUAGCCCUGGAACAAAGCCUCCGGGGAGGGUCUGGGGGAGCCUCUCAACUCCGACCUCCCUGCGGGCUGGGUAGUCUUCACCGGCGACCUAGUUAGAGGCUCGGGCGCGCCCUUCCGCUGAGAGGAAGCACAAGCUCCCGGGGAAAGGGGUCUGGGGGCCUCCACUUCUCAGAAGGCAUGGCUGCGUGGAGGGGAAAUGGGCCAGAGGCUGCUGGCAGGGGGCCUCCUCUGCUGUACACAAGCUGGUUUUGUAGACAGUGAGAGGGAAGCUGAUCCCAGUCCCCUAACCCUGUUCUGCCCAGGAGCCUGAGAACUGAGCUUACUCGGGCAAAUGCUAGGGCUUCAGAAAUGGAGGAGCUGCCUAGGAGGGAGAGGUCACCUCCUGGGGCAGCCACACCAGGGUCAACUGCACGUGUUCUCCAGCCUCUGUUCCUACCACUGCUGCUGCUGCUGCUGCUGCUGCUUGGUGGCCAGGGCCAGGGCGGCAUGUCUGGCAGGUGUGACUGUGCCAGUGAGUCCCAGAAGAGGUAUGGCCCGUUUUGUUGCAGGGGCUGCCCAAAGGGACACUACAUGAAGGCCCCCUGCGCAGAACCCUGUGGCAACUCCACCUGCCUUCCCUGUCCCUCGGACACCUUCUUGACCAGAGACAACCACUUUAAGACUGACUGUACCCGCUGCCAAGUCUGUGAUGAAGAGGCCCUUCAAGUGACCCUUGAGAACUGCUCGGCAAAGUCGGACACCCACUGUGGCUGCCAGUCAGGCUGGUGUGUUGACUGCUCCACCGAGCCAUGUGGGAAAAGCUCACCUUUCUCUUGUGUCCCAUGCGGGGCUACAACACCAGUCCAUGAGGCUCCAACCCCCCGGCCCUGCCUGCCUGGCUUCUAUAUACGUGGCAAUGACUGCACGUCCUGCCCCACGGGCUUCAGCAGCGUUUGCCCUAAGGCUUGCACUGCUGUCUGUGGCUGGAAGCAGAGUAGUGUUUUGGGUCCAGGUGCUUCUAGGAGUCGCGUUCCUUUUUGGGGCUAUCCUGAUCUGUGCAUAUUGUCGAUGGCAGCCUUGUAAGGCCGUGGUCACUGCAGACACAGCUGGGACGGAGACCCUGGCCUCACCACAGACUGCCCAUCUCUCAGCCUCAGACAGCGCCCACACCCUCCUGGCACCUCCAAGCAGUACUGGGAAAAUCUGUACCACUGUCCAGUUGGUAGGCAACAACUGGACCCCUGGCUUAUCCCAGACUCAGGAGGUGGUCUGCGGACAGGCCUCACAACCCUGGGAUCAGCUGCCAAACAGAACUCUUGGAACUCCUCUGGCAUCUCCGCUCUCGCCAGCGCCCCCUGCGGGCUCUCCGGCUGCUGUGCUCCAGCCUGGCCCGCAGCUCUACGAUGUGAUGGAUGCGGUCCCAGCACGAAGGUGGAAGGAGUUCGUGCGCACGCUGGGGCUGCGGGAAGCGGAAAUUGAAGCCGUGGAGGUGGAAAUCUGCCGCUUCCGAGACCAGCAGUAUGAGAUGCUCAAGCGCUGGCGUCAGCAGCAGCCUGCAGGCCUCGGUGCCAUCUAUGCGGCUCUGGAGCGCAUGGGUCUGGAAGGCUGUGCCGAGGACCUGCGCAGCCGCCUGCAGCGUGGCCCGUGAUGGAAGGUCCAUCAGCCACUUUGACACCCUAGUGACCCUUGAAGGAGCCUUAAGUAUUGUUACUUAUGCGUGUAGACAUUUUAUGUCAAUUACUAACCCCCUGCCGUGGUCCUGCGUAGCAGGGCUGGCUGCCUCACUUUUGCUUAUCUGCAGCACGGAGCUCCUGCUAAGGGAAGCGUCAUGGAGAAAUACCAGAAGGGGCCAAGUGAUUGGUUGCUCAGCUGUUAAUUAGCCCGAGUUUGGACUUGGUAUUAAAUUUCGUAAGAAAAGCA
Mus musculus (house mouse) is the source of this 2533-nucleotide RNA transcript. It is a transcript of the gene named tumor necrosis factor receptor superfamily, member 25, with no coding region annotated. The transcript has 9 exons. The record is from RefSeq and is marked validated. NCBI's taxonomy places the organism in Eukaryota, Metazoa, Chordata, Mammalia, Rodentia, Muridae.